This 380-nucleotide long non-coding RNA is filed under the name Equus caballus (horse). RNAcentral describes it as "lncRNA (ENSECAG00000048038.1)". Lineage: Eukaryota; Metazoa; Chordata; Mammalia; Perissodactyla; Equidae. The record is from RNAcentral.
AUUUAAUCCAGCUCAGCCAGGGCAGGCAGCCUGACUUAGGGACUGGCCCCACCCAACAGGAAGCCCUCAGGCACUUGUGGGCCCACAUAGGUGGAGUGCCUAGAACCCCUGCAGCUCAGCAAGUGGGUCCUCCUCUGCAGGGCAGGGCUUGGAGGAAGAGCAGGUUAACAAUAAAACAGAGACAUCAUGAAUCAGAGUGGUAAAGAAUGGACAAGCGAAAAAGGAAACAGGAGGAGAAAGAAAGUAAAAGUCUCAGCCCAGGAAAUAAUCAAGAGUAAGACGAGGGUUCACACCACCUGGGCUGAGCUGCCACUGCGUAUCCUUUCUCCUGCUCUUAACUGCAGAGGAUUGAGAGAAACAGCAGCACUGACAAUCCACAG